This 4293-nucleotide long non-coding RNA is filed under the name Brassica napus (rape). Its description in RNAcentral is "long non-coding RNA (BNAP_LNC022032)". The record is from RNAcentral. Lineage: Eukaryota; Viridiplantae; Streptophyta; Magnoliopsida; Brassicales; Brassicaceae.
GACGAUGCGGGAGGAGAAGCGACGAUCGGAGAAUGGAGCGAGCGAGAAAGAGGGAGUGAUGUUUGAUUUAGCAAUUUCGCAACACUUAAGAUGGUAAUUAAUUUUUUCUUCUUCCUCCUGCCUCUGCUCUUGACCAGUCAAGAUGAGUGGUUAAAUGUAAGUUUUGUAACGACACCGUUUCUGAAACAUCCACUCAAUGAAUGAAUAGUAGAGAUUAAAGAAAAAGAGAUUUCACUUAAUAUGAAUAGUAGAUAUUAAAUGGAGAAUUCUAAUUUAACCAUAAAUUUGAUAUCACUUUCUAAAUAUAACUUAAAAGAUAUCUAUUUACAUAAAUACUUUAAAUUUGUUAUGAAAGAGGCUAUAUUAACUCUAAAUCAUUUAUAAAUGUUUAAGAUUCAUUUCUAAAAUAUUUAUAUAAAUUUAUAAAUCAAAUCCCACCCCCUAAAUACUAAACCAUAUAAACAAUAAUCAUUAAAGUCUAAACUCAAAUGCAAUAAUAUUUUUGAUUGAAAAUAAUAUUAAAAAUAUUAUCUAAAUUGUGGUAUUUAAAGUAAUUCUCAUACUAAGAAUUUUUUGUCAACUUACCAUCGUAUUAAAUCAAGUUUUAGCCAAAAGUAAAACUGUCUGGAAAAAUAACUCUUAACUAUGUUAAGGUAUGUUUGACUUGCAUGAAAAAAAAAAAACCAUCUCGUGCUCUAGCCUUCUUAAAUUUAUUUUUAUACUUCACAAGAUCGAGACAUGAGUACAUGACCUGAUAACACUAUAAUCACCUAUAGAUAAGUUGAGAAAUAUAAAACCAAGAUGAUGUCAGUCAAACAUGCUUCUUGAUAGGCACUGCACAUAUUGGCUCAGCUUUGUGCAAGGUAACACCGAAGGCCUCGCUCAUAUCAACAUUUUCAGGAAGGAUGCCGUUUUGAUACUUCCAGUCAAAGCCAUAGAGAAGAGCCGCAAGAACUAAAUGCACUAUCCUAAAUCCUAGUGGCAAUCCUGGGCAAAUUCUCCUUCCAGCUCCGAAUGGGAUUAGCUCAAAAUCAUUGCCUUUCACAUCGAUUUCUCUUCCCAAAAACCUCUCAGGCUUGAACUGAGUUGGAUUCUCCCACACGUUUGGGUCUCGUCCUAUAUAUCGCCCAUAGACUCACAAGAACCUUGUUCCAAACACACAACAAGGAGUAAUUACACAACAUAAAACCAACCAUAUAAAGUCAUUACUCAGUUUAGUUAUUGUGGAAAUCUUCAAAAUAGCAUUUUUCUAAGUUUAUAUCACAAAAAUAGCACUCAAAAACUAAAAUGACCAAAAUAUCACCUUUCUAAGUUUAUCUUUUGAAAAUUUUAAUUUUUUUAUUUUUCAAAAUUUGAAAUCUUAUCCCCAAAACCUCAUUUCUCAACUCUAAACCCUAAACCCUAAACCCUAAACCCUAAACCCUAAACUCUAAACCCUAAACCCUAAACCCUAAAUCCUAAAUCCUAAACCCCACCCUUUAACUCUAAACCCUAAGUUUGUGACUUUUGAUAAAACAUUAAGUGAUAUUUUUGUGACUUUUGACCUUGAGUGCUAGUUAGGGAACAAAAACUUGAUUUAAUGCUAUUUUUGUUUUUUUCUCUUAGUUAUUUCUGUUUUGUUUAAAUUAAAAAGCCUUACUAAUAUUUCCAAUAAUCUCACUCCAUUUUUCAUUAUAAGAAAAUAAAAACGAGAUUAUUCCAAAAAAUAAAAUAAUAAUUUUAUUUUUAAUUCAUUCUUCCACUUUUUACUUCAACAUCCACUUUUUACAUCAAACUGACAGAAAAUUUUGUUGGAGAAAUUCUCAACUCCACCAUUAAAAAUAGAGUAACACAUUAGAGAUUAUCAUGUUAUUUAUGGUUAAGUUCGUUUUUAUUUGUUAUACAUGGAAAAUGAAACAUGCAACGAGGAUACCUGAGUAUUCUUUGGAAUGAUGAACUCGAAAAUCCGGACAUCAUCAGACUCCGAUGUUCGAGGGAUGAGAAAAGGGGAAGGAGGAUGCAAACGAAGAGUCUCUUUCACUACUGCUUGUAAAUAAGGUAGUUCGAAGAUAUCCAAUUCUCGAACGGCGUCGUUUCGUCUUAUCACUUGUCUAAUCUCUUCUUGAGCUUUCACCAUCAUCUUUGGGUUUCGAAGUAGUUCUGCCAUAGCCCAUUCCACCGUACUCGAACUUGUGUCUGUUCCGGCCAAAAUCAAGUCCUAUCACACACACAUUAGAUGAAUUUAAUAAAAGGUCAUACAGAGAAGCCCAUUUGCUAACUAUAUAGUUUGAAAAUUAGGACUUACGAGAAGCAAAUGUUUGAUACCAUCAUCAUCGAGUUCUGACUCCUUUUCUUGAGAUAUGUCUAAAAGAGAGCUUAGCAUAUCAUUUUCCUUCUUUCUUGAAGCCUUUAAUGAUCUCUUUGUAUCGAUGAAUCUUUGGAAAACCCUAAACAGUUUGUUCAUACAUAGCCUCGCUUCUUUUUUAGUUCCUUGCAGAUCAAGAAACCCAAGAAACGGGAAAAAAUCUGCCGUGUUGGGUUUUCCAGCGAUCUCCAUCAUCCGAAGCACCACGUUUUGGAAGUCAUCCGUUGUCUCAGAGUCAUCAAAGCUGGCGAGAUUUGUGGAAAACAAAGCGUUAGAGAUUAUAUUGAGAGAUGUGAUGAAUGAUGCGCGAGCAAUGUUCACAGCUACACUUCUCUCGCUGCAUCUGUCAACAAAGCUCAUGAGUUCUUGCACUUUGCGCAUCCUUAAGUGCUUGGUUGCUUCUAAACUCCGCGUUGAGAAUAACUGUUGUGUCGUGAUCUUUCUUAGAAACCUGACUAUACACAAAAAAAACUAACCCUAACAAUUUAAUUUAUAAAUUUAUAAUCAGUGACCAAAAAAAAACAAUUUAAUUUAUAAAACCAAAAAGGUUAGAAAACGACUAUAUGGCCGGUCUUGGCAUAGGCCAGCAAAACAUUAGUCUAUAACUCUAAAAAAAUUGAAGAAAAUUAUAUAGACAUAAGUCCUAAGUUUGUUAAAAAAAAAUUAUAAAACAUUUACUAAAUUAACUAAAACUUCCAUUUUACCUCCAACGACCAAACGGAGGUAGCCAUGCAAAAGAACGCUCAUGGUGACCAGUGGCUCGAACCGGGUCAGUGGAGAUUCGGUAACACAAGACAUGGUCAUGUGUUUUCAGAACUUCUUUUGCUGCUUCAGGUGAUGAUAUGACCACUGUAGUCAACCAACCAAGCUUAAGAGUCAUUACGCUUCCGUAAAUCCUCGAGAGAUCGGCAAGUGAACGGUGAGGCUUUUCACCGAUUUGUAGGAUGUUACCAAGUAGAGUUAACCUUGGAGGACCCGUCGAGAUCUUGGCUCCUUCGAAGCCGGAACAUGUGAAAAGGAAGAAGAUGAAACAGAGUAGAAGCAGAGACAAGCUAAGAUAUCCAUCUCACGUUUCGUUAAACUUAAAAGAACACUAUUACGACGCAUUUAUAACGAUUUAACAUUGGGAGAUGUAACAGGUGUCAAUGUCCCUUCACCGAUUCUCUAGUAUUUUGUCGUGUAUAUGGUGAUGUGUUACACGUUGAAGUCAAGCAACGAGCAACGAGAGAUUCUUUAAUUUUCCCAUAUACCGUAUUGAUUGUCAUUUUGUUUAGGUGUCCCAUAAACAAUGAUUUGUGGUUUUGAAAGUGCCUUCUUUUGGUUGAACUGAAGUUGGUGAUUUUAAAAUAUACUAUACCGGUUAAUGCAAGUACACACCUCAAAUCUUUCUUUUUUUGAAUACUUGCAUUAACCGGUAUAGUAUAUUUUAAAAUCACCAACUUCAGUUCAACCAAAAGAAGGCAUUUUCAGAACCACAUUUGAUGCAUUGGCAAAUAUUUUUGUUAAUAAAAUGUAAGUAUACUUAGAACUUAUAUACUACUAUAUACUGAAGACUAUAUGACAUUUGUCAUUACUUUUGUUGCCAACUAGAUAAAAUGAAGAAAUUGAGAAUGAUAUAUAUAACAAUUAUACACUUGAUUUGGAGUUUUAGAAAGCCUCAAAAUGUAUAAAAUUGUUUUCCCCUUUAAUAAAUCCUUAUAAUAAUAUCAACUAAAUAUGAAAAUGUUCUUUUUUUGUUUCUGAUUUAUUUUCACUGUUGUCUGAGUAUUUUCCAACAUCUGUUCACCAGCGAAAUCUCGUCAAGUCAAUGUAAUCUGCCGAUUGAAGGAUGGAGAAAAAAGUAGAGAGAGAAAUAAAAUUUAAAUGUACAUCAAACCUCAUCCGUGGAGAUAAGGAUAGUAGGGCUCUUUGCAUUAACCACUUCAAAUUCAUAUGUAAAUCAAACUUUC